UACGAAGGAUGCAAGCGUUAUCCGGAUUUAUUGGGUUUAAAGGGUGCGUAGGCGGCUUACUAAGUCAGUGGUGAAAGCCCGGAGCUUAACUCCGGAAUUGCCAUUGAUACUGAUGAGCUUGAGUACACUUGAGGUAGGCGGAAUGUGUCAUGUAGCGGUGAAAUGCUUAGAUAUGACACAGAACACCGAUUGCGAAGGCAGCUUACUAAAGUGUAACUGACGCUGAGGCACGAAAGCGUGGGGAUCAAACAGG
This 253-nucleotide ribosomal RNA is filed under the name uncultured bacterium. RNAcentral's name for it is "partial 16S ribosomal RNA". It matches the Rfam family "Bacterial small subunit ribosomal RNA", at positions 524 to 776 of the family's 1533-position model. The record is from RNAcentral.